UGGCGGACGGGUGAGUAAUGUCUGGGAAACUGCCUGAUGGAGGGGGAUAACUACUGGAAACGGUAGCUAAUACCGCAUAACGUCGCAAGACCAAAGAGGGGGACCUUCGGGCCUCUUGCCAUCGGAUGUGCCCAGAUGGGAUUAGCUAGUAGGUGGGGUAACGGCUCACCUAGGCGACGAUCCCUAGCUGGUCCGAGAGGAUGACCAGCCACACUGGAACUGAGACACGGUCCAG
This 235-nucleotide ribosomal RNA is filed under the name uncultured bacterium. RNAcentral's name for it is "partial 16S ribosomal RNA". It matches the Rfam family "Bacterial small subunit ribosomal RNA", at positions 96 to 334 of the family's 1533-position model. The record is from RNAcentral.